AGUGAACGCUGGCGGUAGGCCUAACACAUGCAAGUCGAACGGCAGCACAGUAAGAGCUUGCUCUUACGGGUGGCGAGUGGCGGACGGGUGAGGAAUACAUCGGAAUCUACUUUUUCGUGGGGGAUAACGUAGGGAAACUUACGCUAAUACCGCAUACGACCUACGGGUGAAAGCAGGGGAUCUUCGGACCUUGCGCGAUUGAAUGAGCCGAUGUCGGAUUAGCUAGUUGGCGGGGUAAAGGCCCACCAAGGCGACGAUCCGUAGCUGGUCUGAGAGGAUGAUCAGCCACACUGGAACUGAGACACGGUCCAGACUCCUGCGGGAGGCAGCAGUGGGGAAUAUUGGACAAUGGGCGCAAGCCUGAUCCAGCCAUACCGAGUGGGUGAAGAAGGCCUUCGGGUUGUAAAGCCCUUUUGUUGGGAAAGAAAAGCAGCAGGUUAAUACCCCGCUGUUCUGACGGUACCCAAAGAAUAAGCACCGGCUAACUUCGUG
This 492-nucleotide ribosomal RNA is filed under the name uncultured bacterium. RNAcentral's name for it is "partial 16S ribosomal RNA". It matches the Rfam family "Bacterial small subunit ribosomal RNA", at positions 29 to 507 of the family's 1533-position model. The record is from RNAcentral.